Molecule: ribosomal RNA, 465 nt
Filed under: uncultured bacterium
Lineage: Bacteria
Description: partial 16S ribosomal RNA
Rfam family: Bacterial small subunit ribosomal RNA
Source: RNAcentral
CCUACGGGAGGCAGCAGUGGGGAAUAUUUCGCAAUGGGCGAAAGCCUGACGCAGCGACGCCGCGUGAGGGAUGAAGGUCUUCGGAUCGUAAACCUCUGUCAGCAGGGAAGAACGGUCACUGUGCUAAUCAGCAGUGAAUUGACGGUACCUGCAAAGGAAGCACAGGCUAACGCCGUGCCAGCAGCCGCGGUAAUACGGAGGGUGCGAGCGUUAAGCGGAAUUACUGGGCGUAAAGCGCUCGUAGGCGGUAUGUCAAGGCAAGGGUGAAAUCCCCGCGCUCAACGUGGGAACUGCCUUUGAAACUGGCAAACUGGGGUGUGUGAGAGGAUAGUGGAAUUCCAGGUGUAGGAGUGAAAUCCGUAGAUAUCUGGAGGAACAUCAGUGGCGAAGGCGACUAUCUGGCACAUAACUGACGCUGAGGAGCGAAAGCGUGGGUAGCAAACAGGAUUAGAUACCCGAGUAGUC